Bubalus bubalis (water buffalo) is the source of this 2758-nucleotide long non-coding RNA. RefSeq lists it as uncharacterized. The record is from RefSeq and is a predicted model, not a curated record. Lineage: Eukaryota; Metazoa; Chordata; Mammalia; Artiodactyla; Bovidae. The transcript has 4 exons.
UUUGAAAUGGAAAGGAACUAGCAUCAGUUGAGCGUUUAAAGUGAGCCAGACAUUUUACAUAUGUUGUUGUUCAGCCACUGAGUCGUGUCUGACUCUUUGUAACUCCAUGGGCUGCAGCACACCAGGCUUCUCUGUCCUUCACGUAUGGUACCCCCAUUAAAUCCUCACACCUCAAAGUACAGAUUUAUACCUGUUUUACAGGUAAAGAGACUUAAGAGUCAGGGAUUAUGAAAGUAAAGUCACAGUGAAAGUAAAUGGCAGAGAUGGAAGUCCAACUCCAAAGCCUACUUUCCUUCUACCAUAAUUUGCUGUCUUAAAGAAGGGCUGGAUGUGAAAACGCCAUUUCAGAAGUUGUAGCAAUUUCAGCAACAGGUCUGGUGGGAUGAUGACCAGAACUCAGACAGUAGCUUUGGAAAUGGAAAGAAGGACACAAAUGGAAGAAGCAUCAAUGGGCAGUCAAUGGAAUGUGGCAAAGAAAAUAUCUGCCUAGGAAGAGUCUGAAAAACACCUAACCUUUAAGCCUUAGGAAAUUAUGGUGCUGUUAACAGAGCCUGGAGAAGGAUCCGAUUGUGUUGGGAAGAUUAAAUUCAGUUUUGAUAGGGUUGGUUUUGAUAUAAUCUAUAGGCAAACAGUCUCAGCUGAAAAUGUAGUAGAUAUUUGCUCAGAAAUGCAAAUUGAAGAGAUCAGAUAAAUGGUUAAAGCAAGUAUGAAACAGAUAGGACUUUAAAAGUGCCUAAAUUUAGGAGGUGAGACAACAGAAGAGACAGACUACAAAAAGAAGAUUCUGAAUCAUGCAGCAACCAGAAUCAAAGGCAGGAGAAAUUUUCAAGGGAAUGGCCCUUGGGAUUAGGAGUGGUGCAGUAGGAAUGCUUAUUGCCUGGGUGUGCAGCAGGCAGAGAACACUGGGCAUCCCGGAUGGUGGUGGCAGGGAGCUCCAGACACGCACCGGACUGAGAGGCCAAAGGAAGCCCUGGGCAGUGUGGAUGAAGAGGAGAAUGGGCAAGUACCAUGGCCAAGGCAAUUUUGUCUGUUGGUGAUCAGAAGGAACAAAGCCAAGUGAGAGAAGGCAGAUGCUGGAGAGAAGGCAGAUAAUUAAUGGAAUCCAAGCCCAGUGCUUGGGAUCCUGGGGGUGGAGGAAAGAAAGAGUGGUUUUGAUUUUCUUCCUUUCACACCUACAGAAAACCUGUUUUCAUACAGAUUUGGCUCUUCUUAAAAAUCAGCGUUUAGAGUACCAUGUACCCCCAACUUGGAACGGAACUGGCAAGCCACAAUAAGUAACAAUGAGCCCUUUUCCAGAGUCUGUUUCAACGACAAAUGCUGCUGCUUGGCACUGAGGUCUGCUUGUGUUUUAAGCUGAAAGUGGGGACAGCCCAGAACCCCUCUGUUUGUAACCUGGCUGGAUAGUUCUAUUAUUAUUUAAAGCGUCCCUUUCAGCAAUUUAGGAAACCGAAAUACAUGCUGGCUCAUGCUGUCUGGAAACUGAAAGUCUGUUGAGCAGCUCUCAUGAGCCAAUCCUGAGACUUGGUAAGGAUUUUUAUUUUGGUCGUCCUGCGCGCCUACUGUAACUGGGGCGGCUGAGUUGCUAUGGUGAUUUGUUCUCCAAACAGAGCGCUUUGCCUCAGUACCUUGAAGCAGCAGAUCAAUCUAUUUUACGUUGGCUUGAUCAUGACAUCAAUUCUAGUCGAAACCUCUCCCCUGCUCCCCUCAGAUUCGUAGCAGGAAUUUUAAAUCGGGGCCAAGAGGGCACUAGCUAAAAGAAUCACAACUCCCGCUUUGUAAACCUCGGCCUUCAGUAUUCCUGCCACUGAGACUGUUGGCAGAGUUCUCGGCGGGGGAGGCGGGUUGCAGCUGGGGGAAGGUUCAUCACUGAAGCAAUUAUGUGGCUAAUCGCUCCGGUGUAUACACCGGCUGCAAGUUGUGACUCAGGCUCCACUCUGCCUCUAAUAGUCGGGGGUAGUGGGCAGGAUGCACAGAAAACUCGGUUGCGUUUUCCCACUUCUCUUAUCAACCUGCAAGUCGGUAAGAUCUGGCCUUCAAGUGUGAGAAAGGCAGACCUUCGCUCCUCGACGUGGCCCUCCCUGUCUCCACCAGUAGGGGGCCCCAUUGAGUCACCGGACACUUUAAGGAUGACUGCACUUGAAUGAUAACACACCCGUGGUGAACAGGAAAAGUGACUUUUCCAUUCUCCUCCUAGAGAGAUUCUCUCGAUAAUUCCUGCUUCUGGCUGAUAACCUUUCGGACACAAAGAGACCCAUUUGGACUCAGAUCCCUCAGUAAGGAAGAUGUGGCUGUGGAGAAAGAGGACCCCUUUCCAUACCCUCCCGACCUGGUAGCAGGGCCUGGGGCCAGACUGUCUCACAAGGAGCACCAGUCUAUGGAUAUGAGGUCUAGAACCGCUGCAACCAUUUGUGACCAUGCAGGAAGAUUCUGGAACUGCUAAAGGUUGUGGGGAAGCCCAGCAGGGUGCCUGAAGAGGAAGCCAACACCACAGAAGGCAGAACCAAGAGGAGAGAGAGAAGUCCUUGUGAUGGCAUCAAGUCCCUGGAUCAAGCCUCACCUGAAGCCUGACCUAAUGCUGGUCUUUUUAGUGGCCUCAGCCAAUUAAAUGUUCUUUAUUAUAUAACCCAAUUUAAAUAAGGAUUUCUAUGUCUUACAACAUAAAGGGCCCAUCUAUAAGGAAACCCUAGAAUAGGUACCCAACAGUGCCAAGGGCCUCCUCUGCACCCCAAGCCUCUAGGAGGAAGUGAGCCUGUUCCAG